CGCCGGCGGCUGGGACCGGCCGGGACGAUGGGAGCCCGGGGCAGAGGCGGCAGCGGCAGCGGCGGGGGCCGCAGUGGCGGCGGUGGCUGCCCGGGCGGCGGCGGGGGCGGGCGGCCGGGGACGCGGUCCGGGUAGCGCCGGGCCGAGCGCGGAGCCAUGGGCCGGGCUGGGACCGGGACCGGGGGCGCGGCGGUGGCGGUGGCAGUGGCGGGGCCGUUGCUGCUGAUGUUGCUCGCUGGGCCCCCGCCUACCGCCGCCGGCGACAGCAGGAAGAGCGACAUCAGGCUGGUGUCCGAACAUUUCUCACAGUCCCCACAGAAGCUGUCUUUCUACAGCUGGUAUGGCAGCGCCAGACUCUUCCAUUUCCGCGUGCCCCCGGACGCCGUGCUGCUGCGCUGGUUGCUGCAGGUGUCCCGGGGCAGCAGCCCUGCGUGCGCCAACGUGGAGAUCACUGUGUACUUCCGGUACGGCGCCCCUCCCGUCAUCAACCCUUUGGGCACUAGCUUCCCUGCCAAUACGUCUGUGCAGUCCCCCUUCUUCAUCAAGAUGCUGCAGAGCAACGCCUCCAUCAACAUCUCCCACCCAGCACCCGGGGACUGGUUUGUGGCCGCUCACCUGCCCCCCUCCUCCCAGAAGAUUGAGAUGAAGGGUUUUGCUCCCACCUGUGCCUACAUCUUCCAGCCCGACAUGCUGGUCGUGCGGGCAGUCGAGGUCUUUAUCCUGGAGCCCGACGUUCCCCUUCCGCAGACUCUCCUCUCCCAUCCCAGCUACCUCAAAAUCUUCAUCCCUGAGUACACCCGGGAGUUGCGGCUGGAGCUGCAGGGCUGUGUGAGCAAUGGGAGCCUGGGCUGCCCCGUGCGCCUUACCGUGGGCUCGGCCACCCUGCCCAGAAACUUCCAGAAGGUGCUCACAUGCAUCAGCCCCACCUGGGCCUGCCACCUGUUCCUGCCCUCACCCCCCGGGGACCGGUGGCUGCAAGUGACUGCCAAGAGCCUGGCGGGGCCUCACGUUUUGGUGGCUUUCAGGGCUAUAGCUGCCCUCACAGCCUGCAGGCCAUGGAAUCUGAACUCCCAGCACCUCCUGCAGAGCAGCCCAAACCAGAGCUGUAACGCCUCCACUGGUCUGCUGCCCCCGAGCCCUGGCUGCCACGGCCUGGGCAGGAGCAGCAGGGUGGGCGGUGGCCCCUUCUGCCUCGUGAGCUACCCGGUCAUUCGGGAAGACAUGGACGUGGUGUCUGUACGCUUCUGGCCUGCAGACAGGGUUUCGGUGCUGGUGCGGCCAGCCACGCCCUCAGUGAUGCGGCUGUACCUCAGCACAGGCAUGGACAGUGGGGGCUCCCUCACCAUCUCCCUGCAGGCCAAUAAGACUGCAAUUACCAACAACACCUUGGUAGCGGUCUGCCUGAACGCCGCCUCCCCCUUCCUCGGCUUCAACACAUCGCUCAACUGCACCACAGGUAUGGGCCGGCAGCAUCCGGCCAGUGUCCCCAGCCAGCCCCUCUGGCCGUCUCUGCUCAGGCCCUCCCCCUUCCCUGCAGCCUUCUUCCAGGGCCACCCCCUGUCUCUGAGUGCCGCAUCGCGCAAGGCCGACCUCAUCAUCCCCUACCCAGAGACAGACAACUGGUACCUCUCCCUGCAGCUUGUAUGCCCCGAGAGCCCUGAGGAGUGCGAGCACGCCUCGGUCCUCGUGGAGACCACCUUGUCCUUGGUGCCCUGCCUGAAUGACUGCGGUCCCUACGGCCAGUGCCUCCUUCUGCGCAGACUCAGCUACUUGUAUGCAGGCUGCAGCUGCAAGGCCGCCCCCUGGCAUCACACUGGCCCACAGGCUGGCGUGGAUGGAGCUGCACGGACAACAGCACAGCCCAGACCGUGGCCCAGCAGAGGGUGGCCACCCUCCUUCUCACCCUCAGCAACCUCAUGUUCUUGGCCCCCAUCGCUGUCUCGGUGCACCGCUCAUUCCUGGUGGAGGCCUCCGUCUAUGCCUAUACCAUGUUCUUCUCCACGUUCUACCAUGCCUGCGACCAGCCCGGGGAGGCCGUGCUGUGCAUCCUUGGCUAUGACACCCUGCAGUACUGCGACUUUCUGGGCUCUGGGGUGUCCAUCUGGGUCACCAUCCUCUGCAUGGCGCGGCUGAAGGCAGCCCAGAAACAUGUCCUGUUUCUCCUGGGCACGCUGAUCUUCGCCAUGUCCUUGCAGCUGGACCGCAGGGGUGCCUGGAACAUGAUGGGGCCUUGUCUCUUUGCCUUUGUGGUCAUGGUCACCAUGUGGGUGUACCGCUGCGGGCGCCGGCGGCACUGCUACCCCACCUCCUGGCAGCGCUGGGUCUUCUACCUCCUGCCCGGCAUCUCGAUGGCUGCUGUGGCCGUUGCCAUCUACACCUCCAUGAUGACCAGCGACAACUAUUACUACACGCACAGCAUCUGGCACAUGCUGCUGGCGGGGAGUGCGGCCUUCCUGCUGCCGCCGCGUGAGCAACACACCAAGCCCUGGGCCUGCUCGCAGAAGCUCACUUGCCACUAUCAGAUCUGUAAGAACCACCGAGAGGACCUGUACACGGUGACGUGACGUGGCCAGCUCAGGGAGCCUGGCAGCUGCGAACAUGACCUCUCUGGCCAGGGGCACGACCAAAGGAGAAGGACCCUGUCCAGAUCGAUUUCCAACUGAAUAAAAUUGCCCUUGCACUCUU
This is an RNA transcript of Mirounga angustirostris (Northern elephant seal), 2685 nucleotides long. It is a transcript of the gene named post-GPI attachment to proteins 6, with no coding region annotated. The transcript has 12 exons. NCBI's taxonomy places the organism in Eukaryota, Metazoa, Chordata, Mammalia, Carnivora, Phocidae. The record is from RefSeq and is a predicted model, not a curated record.